Molecule: ribosomal RNA, 1391 nt
Filed under: uncultured bacterium
Lineage: Bacteria
Description: 16S ribosomal RNA
Rfam family: Bacterial small subunit ribosomal RNA
Source: RNAcentral
UUCGCCCUUAGAGUUUGAUCCUGGCUCAGGAUGAACUCUGGCGGCGUGCUUAACACAUGCAAGUCGAGCGGAGAUACAUCAGAGCUUGCUCUCUAGUGUCUUAGCGGCGGACGGGUGAGUAACGCGUGGGCUACCUGCCUCAUACAGGGGAAUAACCGCGGGAAACCGCCACUAAUACCCCAUGUCACCGAGAGAAGGCAUCUUUUUUCCGAAAAAGGAAAAAUCCGGUAUGAGAGGGGCCCGCGUCUGAUUAGCUGGUUGGUGGGGUAACGGCCUACCAAGGCAACGAUCAGUAGCCGACCUGAGAGGGCGAUCGGCCACAUUGGGACUGAGACACGGCCCAAACUCCUACGGGAGGCAGCAGUGGGGAAUAUUGCACAAUGGAGGGAACUCUGAUGCAGCAACGCCGCGUGAAGGAAGACGGUUUUCGGAUUGUAAACUUCUAUCAACAGGGACGAAAAAAAUGACGGUACCUGAAUAAGAAGCCCCGGCUAACUACGUGCCAGCAGCCGCGGUAAUACGUAGGGGGCAAGCGUUAUCCGGAAUUACUGGGUGUAAAGGGUGAGUAGGCGGCAUGCCAAGUUAGAUGUGAAAGCCCGGGGCUUAACUCCGGGAUUACAUUUAAAACUGUUAAGCUUGAGUACAGGAGAGGUAAGCGGAAUUCCUAGUGUAGCGGUGAAAUGCGUAGAUAUUAGGAAGAACACCGGUGGCGAAGGCGGCUUUCUGGACUGAAACUGACGCUGAGGCACGAAAGCGUGGGGAGCAAACAGGAUUAGAUACCCUGGUAGUCCACGCUGUAAACGAUGGAUACUAGAUGCAGGGGGUAUUCACUCCUUCUGUGUCGCAGCUAACGCAUUAAGUAUCCCGCCUGGGGAGUACGGCCGCAAGGUUGAAGCUCAAAGGAAUUGACGGGGGCCCGCACAAGCAGCGGAGCAUGUGGUUUAAUUCGACGCAACGCGAAAAACCUUACCAAGACUUGACAUCGCAUGACAUCAAUGGAAACAUUGCUUCUCUUCGGAGCAUGCAGACAGGUGGUGCAUGGUUGUCGUCAGCUCGUGUCGUGAGAUGUUCGGUUAAGUCCGAUAACGAGCGCAACCCUCAUUACUAGUUGCCAAUAUUAAGUUAGGAACUCUAGUGAUACUGCCGUGGAUAACACGGAGGAAGGUGGGGAUGACGUCAAAUCAUCAUGCCCCUUAUGUCUUGGGCUACACACGUGCUACAAUGGCUAUUACAAAGAGCUGCGAACUCGCAAGAGUAAGCGAAUCUCAAAAAGAUAGUCUCAGUUCGGAUUGUGGGCUGCAACCCGCCCACAUGAAGUCGGAGUUGCUAGUAAUCCCGAAUCAGCAUGUCGGGGUGAAUGCGUUCCCGGGCCUUGCACUCACCGCCCGUCA